UGGUUUUGGACCCGUGUCUGCCGGUAGAUCCCCCGUCUUUGUGCGGCCGACUACCGGCGCCGUGUCCCGUCGGUUCUGUGGCUUAUGUUACUGUUGCCUUUCAAGCGCUUGUGUGUUGGUACCCGAACUCCGGGUAGUGGUGCUUUGUAUUCGGUUGCCUCGCGGUGGCCGCCUUCGGGUGUGCUGCUGCGGCCAAAUGGCGCUAGCGGCGUUUCCUCGUUGUGCCGGCAUGUUUACUCUGCCGGUGCAAUCAAGGCAACCUCGCUCCCGCUGUUGGUCUCGGAUGUUGCCUACGUUAAAGUCUCUUGGCCCAUUUAAGUUGCCUUGACCUGACCCUAAGAAGCUCUCCGAAAAAUUGAGAACAACCGGAACAGGUGUUGCCUCUACCUCUCCACAGUUAGUGGUAGGAUUACGCAACAUUCUGCGCCGAUCCUCAAACUAGUAGGAACGAGCUUGGCCCGCUCAAAUGCGACAACCGGCCCGGCCGUUUGCUCUGCCUUGACACGCAAGUGGAUGGGUGGACAACUUCCGACGCUGGACGUCAAAGAGGACG
RNAcentral lists this unclassified non-coding RNA (553 nucleotides) under Poa pratensis (Kentucky bluegrass). Its description in RNAcentral is "partial external transcribed spacer". The record is from RNAcentral. Lineage: Eukaryota; Viridiplantae; Streptophyta; Magnoliopsida; Poales; Poaceae.